This 1220-nucleotide long non-coding RNA is filed under the name Parus major (Great Tit). Its description in RNAcentral is "lncRNA (ENSPMJG00000002179.1)". The record is from RNAcentral. Lineage: Eukaryota; Metazoa; Chordata; Aves; Passeriformes; Paridae.
GGGAUCGGGGUUUGGGAUUUGGGAUCGGGGUUUGGGAUUUGGGAUCGGGGUUUGGGAUUUGGGAUCGGGGUUUGGGAUUUGGGAUCGGGAUCAGGGUUUGGGGUUCGGGAUCGGGGUUUGGGAUCGGGAUCGGGGUUUGGGGUUUGGGAUCAGGGUUUGGGAUUGGGGUUUGGGGUUUGGGAUCAGGGAUUUUGGGGUUUGGGAUUUGGGCUGGCAUUUGGGAUUUGGAGUUUAGGAUGGGAUUUGGGAUGGGAUUUGAUUUGGGAUUUGGGCUGUGAUUUGGGGUUUGGGGAUUGGGGGUUUGGGGUUUGGGAUUUGGGAUUUGGGGUUUGGGGAUUUGGGGUUUGGCAUUUGGGAUUUGGGCUGGGAUUUAGGAUGGGAUUUGUUUUGGGAUUUGGGCUGGGAUUUGGGAUUUGGGGUUUGGGAAUUGGGAUUUGGGAUUUGGGAUUUGGGGAUUGGGUUUUGGGGUUUGGGAUCGGGGAUUGGAGUUUGGAGUUUGGGGAUUUGGGAUUACGGCAUUUGGCAUUUGGGAUUUUGGGAUUUGGGCUGGGAUUUGGGGUGGGAUUUGGGAUUUGGGGUGGGAUUUGGGAUUUGGGGUUUGGGAUUGGGGAUUUGGGGUUUGGGAUUUGGGAUUUGGCAUUUGGGAUUUGGCAUUUGGCAUUUGGGAUUUUGGGAUUUGGGCUGGGAUUUUGGGAUUUGGCAUUUGGCAUUUGGGAUUUUGGGAUUUUCAGAUUUGGGACAGAAUUUGGGAUUUGGGAUUUUGGGAUUUGGGAUUUGGGAUUUGGGAUGGGAUUUGAUUUGGGAUUUGGGCUGGGAUUUGGGAUUUUGGGAUUUGGCAUUUUGGUAUUUGGCAUUUGGGAUGGCAUUUGGCAUUUGGGAUUUUGGGAUUUUCAGAUUUGGGAUUUUGGGAUUUGGGAUUUGGGAUUUGGGAUUUGGGCUGGGAUUUUGGGAUUUGGGGUUUGGGGAUUGGGAUUUGGGAUUUUGGGAUUUGGGAUUUGGGAUUUGAGAUUUGGGAUUUGGGCUGGGAUUUGGGAUUUGGGAUUUGGGGUGGGACAGGUGGGAAGUGACCUCAAAUCCCGUCCCGUUCCAGCCCUGCCGUGGCAGGGACAGCUCCCGCUGGCCCAGGCUGCUCCAAGGCUGCCCUCGGGCACUUCGGGGCUCCAGGAGCACCCACAGCUUCCCUGGGAAUUCCAUCCCGGAAUUCCAUCCCGGAAUUCCUU